This 87-nucleotide transfer RNA is filed under the name Candidatus Falkowbacteria bacterium CG10_big_fil_rev_8_21_14_0_10_37_18. RNAcentral describes it as "tRNA-Leu". It matches the Rfam family "tRNA". Rfam says of the family: Transfer RNA (tRNA) molecules are approximately 80 nucleotides in length. The record is from RNAcentral. Lineage: Bacteria; Candidatus Falkowiibacteriota.
GCCCGGAUGGUGAAACUGGUAGACACGCAGCGUUCAGAACGCUGUGGGAGCAAUCCCAUGGGGGUUCAAGUCCCCCUUCGGGCACCA